This 402-nucleotide ribosomal RNA is filed under the name uncultured bacterium. RNAcentral describes it as "bacterial SSU rRNA". It matches the Rfam family "Bacterial small subunit ribosomal RNA", at positions 354 to 773 of the family's 1533-position model. The record is from RNAcentral.
GUGGGGAAUAUUGGACAAUGGGCGCAAGCCUGAUCCAGCCAUGCCGCGUGAGUGAUGACGGCCUUAGGGUUGUAAAGCUCUUUCGCUCGGGACGAUAAUGACGGUACCGAGAUAAGAAGCCCCGGCUAACUUCGUGCCAGCAGCCGCGGUAAUACGAAGGGGGCUAGCGUUGUUCGGAAUUACUGGGCGUAAAGCGCGUGUAGGCGGGUCUUUAAGUCAGAGGUGAAAUGCCAAGGCUCAACCUUGGAACUGCCUUUGAUACUGGAGAUCUUGAGUCCGGGAGAGGUGAGUGGAAUUGCGAGUGUAGAGGUGAAAUUCGUAGAUAUUCGCAAGAACACCAGUGGCGAGGGCGGCUCACUGGCCCGGAACUGACGCUGAGACGCGAAAGCGUGGGGAGCAAAC